AGCGGCGGACGGGUGAGUAACGCGUGGGUAACCUGCCCUGUACACACGGAUAACAUACCGAAAGGUAUGCUAAUACGAGAUAAUAUGCCUUUAUCGCAUGGUAGAAGUAUCAAAGCUUUUGCGGUACAGGAUGGACCCGCGUCUGAUUAGCUAGUUGGUAAGGUAACGGCUUACCAAGGCGACGAUCAGUAGCCGACCCGAGAGGGUGAUCGGCCACAUUGGAACUGAGACACGGUCCAAACUCCUACGGGAGGCAGCAGUGGGGAAUAUUGCACAAUGGGCGAAAGCCUGAUGCAGCAACGCCGCGUGAGCGAUGAAGGCCUUCGGGUCGUAAAGCUCUGUCCUCAAGGAAGAUAAUGACGGUACUUGAGGAGGAAGCCCCGGCUAACUACGUGCCAGCAGCCGCGGUAAUACGUAGGGGGCUAGCGUUAUCCGGAAUUACUGGGCGUAAAGGGUGCGUAGGUGGUUUCUUAAGUCAGAGGUGAAAGGCUACGGCUCAACCGUAGUAAGCCUUUGAAACUGGGAAACUUGAGUGCAGGAGAGGAGAGCGGAAUUCCUAGCGUAGCGGUGAAAUGCGUAGAUAUUAGGAGGAACACCAGUUGCGAAGGCGGCUCUCUGGACUGUAACUGACACUGAGGCACGAAAGCGAGGGGAGCAAACAGGAUUAGAUACCCUGGUAGUCCACGCCGUAAACGAUGAGUACCAGCUGU
Molecule: ribosomal RNA, 710 nt
Filed under: uncultured bacterium
Lineage: Bacteria
Description: bacterial SSU rRNA
Rfam family: Bacterial small subunit ribosomal RNA
Source: RNAcentral